UUUCCGUAGGUGAACCUGCGGAAGGAUCAUUAUUGUAUAACCGAGGUGCGAGGGCUGUCGCUGACCCGAAAGGUCGUGCACGCCCGAGUGCCCUCACACACAUCCAUCUCACCCCUAUGUGCACCACCGCGUGGGUCCCCCUUUGGCUUGUUCGGAGGGGGGCUUACGUUGUCACACAAACUUUGUAUGCAGUGUAGAAUGUAUUUUUUGUUUUUGCGAUCACGCAAUCAAUACAACUUUCAACAACGGAUCUCUUGGUUCUG
RNAcentral lists this unclassified non-coding RNA (263 nucleotides) under plant metagenome. RNAcentral's name for it is "partial contains small subunit ribosomal RNA, internal transcribed spacer 1, and 5.8S ribosomal RNA". The record is from RNAcentral.